CUUCAGUGACCGCCGGCAUGUCUCGAAAGACAUAUCUUUGAGGUCUGUGACUUGCUCGGAGUUGCUGUGCUUCAUGCAUCCAUGUAGUCCUCUAUGAGAGUAUCCCUCCGGUCCAAAUAGUCAUGUCCAUGAUUUUGAGUUGCUGUGCAGCUGUGCUUCAGACAUCCAUGCAGUCCCCUAAGGGAUCGCCAUCCAGGUCCAUUUUUCGUCAAAUUGUUGCGCCCAUGCUUCGAGUGUGUGUGCAUCAGGCAACCAUGUAGUCUUCCACGGGAUCACCCCCAUGUCCAUUCAAAAUGUCGUGUCCAUGCUCCAAACUGCUGUGCUUCAUGCAAUCGUCUUACAAUGAAAAUAAAAUAUAAAAAACGAGACAUAUGUUUGGUUAUCAAUC
Long non-coding RNA from Ornithodoros turicata, 388 nucleotides. RefSeq lists it as uncharacterized. Lineage: Eukaryota; Metazoa; Arthropoda; Arachnida; Ixodida; Argasidae. The transcript is spliced from 5 exons. The record is from RefSeq and is a predicted model, not a curated record.